ACUUCACCACAAAACAAACAAAACCUUUUUCUUGUUAUGUAGCCCAUAAAUACAUACACAUACUAUGUGCCCACAAACAUUAAAAAUCCAACAUUUAAGACAAAACAAAAACAACAGAAAACCUUUUUCUGAGGAGUCCCUAGGCUUCACCAGUUGGCCAAAACUGGAGCUUGAGUGCUGAGACUUUAUUGAGUGCAUACCCACAAUGCAUUGCAACAAAAUAAUUUUCGUCUUUAAAAUUACUUUCCCCUUUUUCCUUUAACCUAUCUUUCCUGAAACCGAGAUUACUAUUCCAGAAUUGACUGAAUAAAAGGAAAUCGUAUGAAGAAAAGGCGAAGUCAGUAUCUCUUCUGGACGGAAAGAAAGUUACCAUUACCCAGUUAGGAGUAGCAAUUAUCUGAGAACUGAGUGCUGACUUCUUAACAUGCGAGUUAGCUUCAAAUCACAAAGACUUUUCGGUUUUUAUUAACGAUUGUCGUGGAACAAGAUGAGCAUGAGUGUAAUGUUUUUGAAGCCUUCAUUUGGAGUAGGGCUUACUUCAGUGUUUUUAAACUAGGCGCGCUGAAAGAGUCGUCACUGAGGGUGAAAAACGGAAUAAGUACACAAAACGCCGAGUUCUCAGACCCUUGAAAAUGUUUAUCUGUAGCGUUUAGUACCUGAGCCGGCGGGUUCUUGGGGCCUUGGAGGAAAGAAGGAAAAUUACCGUCCGAUGGGCUUGAAUGUCAAGGUUUGGAGCCAGUGGAACAGGUAUGGACUGUGGGCAAUUGCCUCAGGAGCUGAGCCUCGGGUCAGGAUUUUUUUGUUUUGCUUUUUUGAGACAGAGUGUCGCUCUGGAGUGCAGUGGCGCCAUCUCGGCUCACUGCAACCUCCGUUUUCCUGGUCCAAACGAUUCUCUGCGUCAGUCUCCCAAGUAGCUGGGAUUAUUACAAGCGUGAAGCCAGGCUAAUUAUUGUAUUUUUAGUAGAGACGGUGUUUCACCAUAUUGGCCCGGCUGGUCUCGAGCUACUGACCUCAGGUGAUCCAACCGCCUCGGCUUCCCAAAGUGCUGGGGUUACAGGCGUGAGCCACCAAGCCCGGCCUUGGGUCAGAAUAUUUUGUGACGGAUUUCCUCCCUCCUUUACCGGGGCAGAGACCCUGCUAGUUUUCCUGUCCCGUGCUCAACCUCUCUCUCCUAGAAUCUCACAGCAUUAGCGGGGCUCACAGCUACCUGAAGGCAUGACUACAUUUCCCAGUCUCCCUUGCGGUCGAGACCUAGCCCUCUGGAAAGAGUGAUUGGAAAAUUCACUGCGUCUUGAGUUUAACCAACGGUUGGGUCUGGGGAGGACGAGCUGCGCUCCUGGCACCACUCCACCAGAUAUGAAGUCUUGGCCUUCCAAAGUACUAGGUUUACAGGCGUGAGCCAUCAUACCUGGCCUGAAAUUUCUACUUUUAAAAGUAGAGCUUCAAUUCCAGCUCCAUACUGCAUGAAACUGUGGAAUCAGGGUGCUUGAAUACAGUCUGAACUUCAGCCAAACCAAGGGAGAUUUGAAACCCAAGAGAAACUGCCAGUGAGUCCCGCCAGCCUUGAUGAGGUCGGAUGAGUGAAAGCUGUUCCUGCGGGUACCAAAGCUCAGAAUGUUGGCAAAACAGCAUGGACUGUGGGAGGCUUGCCUCGGAUCCAUCUGUGGGUCACCAAAAUGUCAACCUAAUAUCAUCAAAAGGGUUAGAAUCUAAUUUAAAUAGUGUUUAUUCAAGCACAAAAUGUGAGGACGGACAACAUGGAAAUACUGACUCCAAAGGAAUGGAGUCAGUGUUCCAAAGCACAUAGAGACAGAGGAGUUUUUACAGGAUUAUAGCAUUUGCCCCUUCCCUCCCCUCCCAUCCCCUUCUUGACGGAAUCUCACUCUGUUGCCCGGGCUGGCAUGCAAUGGCUCCAUCUCGGCUCACCGCAACCUCUGCCUCCCAGAUUCAAGCAAUUCUCCUGUCUCAGCCCCCUCCACCCAAAAUAGCUGGGAUUACAGAUGUGCACCACCAUGCCAGGCAAAUUUUUGUAUUUUUAGUAGAGAUGGGGUUUCACCAUGUUGGCCAGGCUGGUCUUGAACUCCUGACCUCAGAUGAUCCUCCUGCCUUGGCCUCCCAAAGUCAAAGUGCUGGGAUUAUAGGUGUGAGCCACUGUGCCCAGCCUUCUUCUAUUUUUUGUUUUUUUUUUGAGAAGGUUCUUGCUCUGUCUCCCAGGCUGGAGUGCAGUGGUAUCAUCACAGCUAACUGGAGCCUCAACUUUGCUAGCUCAGGUGAUUCUCCCACCUCAGCCUCCUGAGUAGUCGAGACUACAGGCAUACAUGCCACCACACCGGCUAAUUUUUUGUAUUUUUUGCAGAGAUGGGGUUUUUUUCAUGUUGCCCAGGCUGGUCUUAAACUCCUGGAGUCAAGCCAUUCCCUUGCCUCAGCCUCCCAAAGUGCUGGGAUUACAGGUAUGAGCCACUGUGCCGAGCCUUAAAAAAGUUAAUGUAAAUAUAUUUGACAAUUUAAAAUUCUGUGUGUCGAAAGAAAGCAAAAACGUAAGCAUCCCACCAGAAUAAUACUUGUAAUACACUAAAGGGUUAACAAUUGUACUAUAUCAAAAGGCCUUACAAAUUAAUGAGAUAAAGCUGAGUGGGGUGGCUCACGCUAUAAUCCCAGAACUUUGGGAGGCUGAGGACAGUGAAUCGCUUGAGCCCACAGGUUUGAGGCCAGCCUGGGCAAUUUGGUGAAACAUCAUAUCUACAAAAAAACAAAACAAAAAUGCUUAAUGAGAUAAAUAUUAAACUGUAAUAGAAAAUCAUUGAUAGGAGAGAGAAAAAAUUUCCAGAAGAAAUGUACAUGUCUAAUAAAUAGAUGGAAACAUG
Molecule: long non-coding RNA, 2864 nt
Organism: Callithrix jacchus (white-tufted-ear marmoset)
Lineage: Eukaryota; Metazoa; Chordata; Mammalia; Primates; Cebidae
Source: RefSeq, a predicted model, not a curated record